RNAcentral lists this small RNA (4899 nucleotides) under Pan troglodytes (chimpanzee). Its description in RNAcentral is "retained intron". Lineage: Eukaryota; Metazoa; Chordata; Mammalia; Primates; Hominidae. The record is from RNAcentral.
UUUUUUCUAGUAGUGAGUAUAUUGUGUUAAAAUCCUCAGCAGGAUAAUAUUUGGGCUUGGUGAUGGCAGGUAGAGGGGACCCUUGUCAAAUGGCGUGGACAGAUAAAAGUUGCUCAGGGCCUGAUGCAUGAGUUUAGCUUCCUUUUCACUUCCUCACUAAUGUCCUGGGGAAGAGCUCAGCUGAUUUUUCCUUCCUCUCCCCUGAAGCUGGAAUGGUUCUUUUCUUGGUUCUCUUUUUAGAUUUUAGUUCAACUCCCUUCAUAACAGCCUUGCCCAGGCCUCAUUCUAAUCGGUGUUGGGAACUGUUCUUAGGUUCCAUGCCACAGGCAGGGAGAGCAGGAGGAAACAGCACUUUGCAGAGGCGCUUGGGAGCCAGGCAUCCAGCUGGGGCCAGUGGAGGUCAAGCCUGAGUGGGGGAUGCCCCCUGGGGAAGGAGUUCAAGGUCCAGACCCAGGUACCGAGGAGCAGCUCAGUCAGGACCCUGGAGAUGAGACACGGGCCUUCCAGGAGCAAGGUGAGUAAGACGCAGAUAGUGGGGAUGUCAGGUCAUAGGAAACAGUGCUGUGCAGCCAACUCUUUUCAGAAACCCAGCAAUGGAGCAACUAAGUUACCCACGAGGUGUAAUUGUGAAUUUUCUUGGCUACUUCCUCCACCUUAGGAAAUAGAUGAAGUGAAAUUGUUUCUUCUCCCUUUACCCUCUGGUGUCUGGAGGGGAUAUCUGGGAUCAUGCUUUCUUAUUAUUUCUCUUUUCUUUCCCUCAGAUCCCUUCUAGAAACUACCAAGAAAUAUUCAGCUGACUUGCAGGAAUACUUUUUCAGUAGGCAGAUAAACCAUAUCCCCCAAAGUAAUAUGUAGCUUUCUUUCUUUCUUUCUUUUUUGAGACGGGGUGUCACUCUGUCACCCAGGUUGGAGUGCAGUGGCGUGAUCUCAGCUCACUGCAACCUUUGCCUCCUGGGUUGAAGCAAUUCUCCUGCUUCAGCCUCCCAAGUAGCUGGGACUACAGGCAUGUGCCACCAUGCCCUGUUAAUUUUUUUGUAUUUUUAGUGGAGAUGGGGUUUCACCAUGUUAGCCAGGAUGGUCUCGAUCUCCUGACCUCGUGAUCUGUCCACCUCAGCCUCCCAAAGUGCUGGGAUUACAGGCAUGAGCCACCGCGCCCAGCCCACGUAGCUUUAUUUUGUUACUGAAUCUCAAAGGAGGUUAUUCCCAGAGUGUGACUGGGUAGCAUGGGUAGCCCUGAACGGACAGGGCCGGGACAAUCUUGCCAGCUGAGAACAGGAGACACCCAGGCCCCAGCUGAGAAUAGGGCAAGGGACACCCAGGCCCCUGUGUGUGGGAAAGUAUGGUACCAGAGUGAAAAGGGAUUCUGUCUGGAGUCUUCUGGUUCCUGAGGUUGUACGCAUCUGGUAGGGGACACAUUUGAACGAGCUAACAGCAUAACAUCACUGAUCCUUCUGAUCUUUCUCAUGCUUUUUGUCCCUGCUCAGCACUACCUGUUCUGCAGGCGGGUCCUGGCCUCCCCGCAGUGAAUCCCAGAGACCAAGAGAUGGCAGCUGGGUUCUUUACUGCUGGAUCGCAGGGGUUGGGGCCAUUUAAAGAUAUGGCCCUGGCCUUCCCUGAGGAGGAGUGGAGGCAUGUGACCCCAGCCCAGAUAGACUGCUUUGGGGAGUACGUGGAACCGCAGGACUGCAGGGUCUCUCCAGGCGGUGGGAGCAAGGAAAAGGAGGCAAAACCCCCACAGGAAGACCUGAAAGGGGCGCUGGUGGCACUGACAUCAGAGAGGUUUGGGGAAGCCUCUCUCCAGGGCCCUGGGCUCGGAAGGGUCUGUGAGCAGGAGCCUGGUGGCCCUGCAGGCAGUGCGCCUGGGCUUCCUCCUCCCCAGCACGGUGCCAUCCCCCUGCCUGACGAAGUCAAAACCCACAGCUCCUUCUGGAAGCCUUUCCAGUGCCCUGAGUGUGGGAAAGGAUUCAGUCGGAGCUCCAAUCUCGUCAGGCACCAGCGAACCCACGAAGAGGAGAAGUCUUAUGGCUGUGUGGAGUGUGGGAAGGGCUUUACCCUGAGAGAGUACCUGAUGAAGCACCAGAGAACCCACCUGGGAAAGAGGCCCUACGUGUGCAGCGAGUGCUGGAAAACCUUCAGCCAGAGACACCACCUGGAGGUGCACCAGCGCAGCCACACUGGGGAGAAGCCCUACAAGUGCGGGGACUGCUGGAAGAGCUUCAGCCGCAGGCAGCACCUGCAGGUGCACCGGAGGACGCACACCGGGGAGAAGCCCUACACCUGCGAGUGUGGCAAGAGCUUCAGCAGGAAUGCCAAUCUGGCGGUGCACCGGCGUGCCCACACUGGCGAGAAGCCAUAUGGGUGCCAGGUGUGCGGGAAGCGGUUCAGCAAAGGGGAGCGGCUGGUCCGACACCAGAGAAUCCACACAGGGGAGAAGCCCUACCACUGUCCUGCCUGCGGGCGAAGCUUCAACCAGAGGUCCAUCCUCAACCGGCACCAGAAGACCCAGCACCGCCAGGAGCCGCUGGUGCAGUGAGCAUAGCAGGUGGCAGGCAGCACCAUCAUUCAUCUUUCUCACUGCAGGGCCUUGUGGGGCGCAAGGUGAUGGCUGCAGGAAAGCACUGGUCCCAUCGCCUUCCCACCCAUUUGCAAACGCGGGAAAGGCAAGGCCUGGCUUACUUAGAGCUUCCAGAGAGCAUAGCUGCUUCCAUCUCUUACCCAAGUGGUGCUAAACAAUUUUUCUUCCAAUGUUUGAGGGAAGCAGUCUCCUGCGGUUCAGUUCAGGCUGAGAUUUUCUCCUUCAGUGGACUGUCUGUGUCCCCCUGCCGAACAAAGCUGGGAGUAAAGGCAAAACCUUGACACGUGUUGGUAGCUGGGACCUCAUCUUCCUGAGGGCUCUGUCUUGCCUGCAGGGUCAUUAGCUCAGACUCUUUCCCUACCCCCUCUCUUUUCCAUUGAACAAACAUUUAUUGAACAUCCUCUGAGCACCUGGCCGUGGGAAUGCCGUGGUGAAUGAGAGACUAGACGUGAUGCCUCUGGGGGUUGUGCGUUGGGGAUGCAUGCGACAGCCCAUGACCCGAGGCAUUCUCAGGGUAUCUGUGCUGUGUGCCCGUGAGAACAUCUUCCCAUGACCACUCCUGCCCUCCUGCCCCGUGCUGGAUCUUCCCUCCCCAGCUGGGAUCUGCUCCCAGGCAACUGUGUGAAUUUUACAUUAUUUGGAGCCUCAUCUGUGUCAGGCUAUAACAUUCUAUCCUCAUCUGUAAAACUUCCCCGUCCAUUAUUCCUUGCACUAUAACAACUGUCAACACACCAGCUAUUAGGAAGUUAGUAUUUUGCUAUUGAUCACUGAAUAAACAUCAGAGUAUUUUAAAAAACAGUUCUCUAGAAAGAACUGUUAUAAUUAAAAUGAGUCUGAAAGAUGAACUCUAGUAUUAAUGCCCUAUAUUUGAUGGCACUUUAUAGUUCAUAAAAUUAAUUUCACCCCAUUCUCAUUGGACCCAUUUCCCAAGUAUUUAUUGAGGCCCUGUAACAAACAUGUCAGGAACUCUUCUGGGUGCUUGAGACACAUCCAUGAAUAAAAUAGGGGGAGAAGCUGUUGACCUCGUAGAGCUUAUGUCUCGUGGAUGUACCUGAUCUUCAGAACCCGUGGAUAUUCCUGCAAAUCCUCUGGGCCUGUAUUCAUUGUUUUGUCAGCAUCUUGCCCUGAAAUGCAUUUGCCACCUACCUCUUGUUACUAAAUGGUCUCUGCCCUCUAGACCCUUGUCAUCCAAGGCACUAGGGAUCCUAGACACCCACUGGGGAUGAUGAGCUGGUAGCGACCUGUUUUGCAUGAGUGCCAAGUCAGGAAAAAUAAAGAUAUUUGUAGGCAUUAAAAAAAAAUACAAUUUCUUUAAAAAUGAGAAGAUGCAAUAUUUGUAAACUGUUGAAGCUUCCUUAUUGUGCCAUCACUUAAGGGUUUCAUUUCUGUUUAAAGUUCUGGAAGCUGCAUAACUAGCAUGGACUGACUGCUGUGUCAUUGUGCUGUGCCUUUGAACCCUGGCUGAGUGAGUGAGUUUGUCUUUUGUUGAUAGUGUACUAUAAUUGCAAAAUGUGGUUUGUCUUCUGAUGCCUCUUAAUACCAGAUUCUUUUACUGAGAUUUUUUUUUUUCAUUUUCCAUUGUAAAUAAGGUAAAUGGUAAUGACUAACACAAAGCUGUAUUACUCAGCCCACUUUGAAACGUGGUUUUAUCACCUGUUCUUGGUAGGCAGCAUGGUGUCUAAUUUUGGCUUAGCAAAUGACCCUUCUUGGUCUUCCUGGCUCAUUAGCUGUGCCCACGAGGCUGCACUGACCGGGUCGUAAAUGUAUCUGAGAUGUCCACACGGGGCUGCUGCUGCUCCUCUGUAAUACUGAGGUCCACGUGCAAAAUCAGCUUUUUUUCCCCCGUAAUUAUCAGAGCAGCUAGGCAGGGCUGACAGCCAGGCAGACUCAGUGGGAGGCUUCUGGCCUGAGUGUGGCCUUCCCCAGAGGGUGGUUUUCCAAAGGCAGGUGGGGACUGGGGAGGCCUCGGGGGGCUGCUUGUCACUCAUCAUUCUGUUUACCUGAAUCACAGAUGCUCUUUUAUCAUACACAGCCAGCACUCCUCUGGGUUUCAGCAAGUUGGGAUAUCUUAAGCUUCAGAAGGAGCUGGGCCUUGCUGACUUUCCUAUCUGGCCUCUUCCCUAUCUCCUGUGGGGCCAAGAGCUUAGGACAGUGUCUCAGAAAAGCCUCUUAGUAGGGGGUUUUUCCCAUGGGAUUGUAGUAGUAUGAUUUUUCAUAUCUAUUCAAAUGUUAAGAAAUAUUUUGUUUUCUGUAUUUUUCUAUUCUUUAGAAAUUUUUUUAUAAUAGAUAAUUUCAAACCUAUAUAAAUAAAUCCUUAUGUAUUU